AGAGACAGCAGCAGCCACGGUAAUACAAAGGAUGCAAGCGUUAUCCGGAAUGAUUGGGCGUAAAGCGUCUGUAGGUGGCUUUUCAAGUCCACCGUCAAAUCCCAGGGCUCAACCCUGGACAGGCGGUGGAAACUACCAAGCUAGAGUAUGGUAGGGGCAGAGGGAAUCUCCGGUGGAGCGGUGAAAUGCGUUGAGAUUGGAAAGAACACCAACGGCGAAAGCACUCUGUUGAGCCGACACUGACAUUGAGAGACGAAAUCUAGGGGAGCAAAUGGGAUUAGAUACCCCGGUAGUCCCUGUCUCUUAUAC
RNAcentral lists this ribosomal RNA (309 nucleotides) under uncultured bacterium. RNAcentral describes it as "partial 16S ribosomal RNA". It matches the Rfam family "Bacterial small subunit ribosomal RNA", at positions 504 to 807 of the family's 1533-position model. The record is from RNAcentral.